This is a long non-coding RNA of Pseudopipra pipra, 1193 nucleotides long. RefSeq lists it as uncharacterized. NCBI's taxonomy places the organism in Eukaryota, Metazoa, Chordata, Aves, Passeriformes, Pipridae. The transcript has 4 exons. The record is from RefSeq and is a predicted model, not a curated record.
UGAGUACUUGACUGACUCCUAGCAGCACUGUAGCCUGUAAAAGGGUAAAGUCCAAAAAAGUUCUAACUUAGGUUUUGGGCUGUCUUAGUGAUGUUCCAGACAGAAAUCCAAUGACCUAGAGUUGGGGUGUUUGAAAGGUUCCUUUGGUCUCUAUCCUGCUGCACUGUGGGUGCUGUGCUCUGCCUCCAAGGAGAGCAGUCAGGGAACCCCAGGCUUCUUGGCACCUAUUAAGCUCAACUUUCUUCUGUAAUUUUAUCAGAAUGACAAGAGACUUCAGUUCUAACCUUAAAAAACCAGUUAUCAUUGAUAACUUUUACUAUUUUAGGGGAUCUACCUAAGCCCUAUCUAUCUUAAAAGACAAGAGCAUUUUUAACAGCUACUUGUAGAUUCUUGGUCUGUAGGUUAUAACUUUUUCAUUGCUUGUUUGCCUUUAUUCUGUGUUCUUUUUGGUCAUUCCAUUAAAAAGUGCAUCCUGUGUUGAACAAUCAAUCCUUCCAGCAAAUUAUAAGCCAUUUGGAAAACAUCUAAAUUAGUGCCAUUUUUGACGAGGAGGUGACAAUGGCUCUGUCUUCCAAGAGACAUAAAAAGGUUAUCAGGUAUUAUUACUUGCCCACUGAGAAUUUGGCAUGAAUUCAAGUCCUUUGCUGGAUGUGAAAUUUCCUGAAGAAAUACAGAGAUGUUGUGGGAUUGGUUGGUUGUGGGCUUUUUUGAGCAACAUGAAUUUUCUACUGGAAAAAUGAGAUAUGAGUCAGCAUCGAAAUUUCUGCAAGAAACAGCAGGCAUCUGGGUUUUUGUGUUUUUUUUUUUUUUUUUUUUUUUUUUUUUUUUUUUUGUUUUUUUUUUUUGUUUUUUUUUUUUUUUAGUCUCAUUCAUAUUUUCAUUUCACCCAUCAGGGGAAGGAAUCUAAUGAUGCUUGUUUCUAGAUCUGAACAUCAUCUGAGGACAUUUGGAUCUCUGUCUUUGAUGUGGACCCAUCAAGCCUUCUAAAUUUGGCAGUGAAAAUUAGCCACCCUUGCAGAAAGUCUGUUACAAUAGUCUCAUCAGCCAGGAAAUGCACAAUCUUAUAACUGGAGGAGCUGAUUCAAAGCCCAAGGAAGCUGUUGAGUGAAAUAGCGAUAUGGUUCAUCACUUCCCCAGAGCUUAAAAGCCAUGUAUAUACCAUGAAGAACAAGAUGAGAAUUCUUCUCUUCCAG